UGAAAAUUUGCCUGCAUAAUUUCUCAUUCACAAAGUUCAAUCUAGAACAAGUUGAAGAUGCUUCAAAAGAACCAGAUUUUUGUCUCAAGUGCAUCCUAGUUACUGCUAUCGUCAGAGCCAAAAACUAGGCAGCAUAGACUAUUCUGAUACAGGUGAGAAGAAAAAAAUAAAAAGAUCUGUAACCCAUUACUCAAAAUGGAUAACACUAAUUACUACUACUUGUUUCCAUCUGUCUCCUGAACCAUCAGUUUUUCUCCUACAAUAGAAACACUGUUAACUGAAGGAACACUAACUACAACUUUGAAGGAUCGUCUUUUGUUUGGCUAAAUCAAAGCCUCCGGAAACUGCUAUAAACAACUGUACCUGUUUCUAUUAACAGUUCACAGCAAGACUAAUUGGCUCCCUGAAUCAUUGGAAUGGCUUUCUCCUUCGGGUGCCUUCCUCUUUCGGUAUGCAUCAGUCGGCAACCCCAAAUGCAAGGUAGUAUCCGAAUCUCCUUUCUCCAUCGAGCAAUUGUAGGCUGUGUCGGGACUUGCAGAACCAUUGUUUACAAGAGAAUGCUUCCUCUCCACAGAAUAGUAUUCAUGAUAAGUUGGGACUGAAUGAUCAGUUGAUGGGAAGAAACAUCGAAGCUCCUCUACCUGUCUACGCAAAGUUUCAUUCUCCAGCAUGGCCCGCUGUUCCUGUACUCUGGAUUGCUCUAGUUGUUCCAUCAGUAAAUGCUCCUGAACGGAUAGAACUUCUAUUAAGGUUCUUGAAAUGCAAAACUACUUAACCACACCAUAUGCUACUUUUUC
RNAcentral lists this unclassified non-coding RNA (797 nucleotides) under Hevea brasiliensis (rubber tree). Lineage: Eukaryota; Viridiplantae; Streptophyta; Magnoliopsida; Malpighiales; Euphorbiaceae. The record is from RNAcentral.